AGUUGAUAGAAGGAGUUUAUGAAGUUCGAUUACAGGUUGGAGUACCAGUGAUGAGCCGCCUUCCUCAGAGUUGAAGGAAAAGCUUGAUAGAGAGUCACAUCAUUGGCUCCUUGUAGAAGUAUCAGAGUUCGAAAAUGUUGGAUGUAUGCCCUAGAAGCCAAUCUUGGCUGACACAUAUCAUAUUUUCAGAAUAUGAUUUUAUACUUUAUAGGU
This 213-nucleotide long non-coding RNA is filed under the name Elaeis guineensis (African oil palm). RNAcentral describes it as "long non-coding RNA (EGUI_LNC056756)". The record is from RNAcentral. Lineage: Eukaryota; Viridiplantae; Streptophyta; Magnoliopsida; Arecales; Arecaceae.